GCCACUAAGAAUCCAUUGCAGCUAAACUCUGCUCUGAGCCCACCCGGCUUGUGCCUGGGCUGCUGAGAAAGGGCUGCGCACCCAGAAGUAGUUUUAUUCUUAUUGGGGAUUACCGCUGGGGAAAAGUAGGAUUCGUUUAGCCCUCACCUCCUUUCUCUUUUCGGGGUCGCAUCUUUCCCCCGCUUAAGCCUGGGGUUGGGCAACUACCAAGAGAGCAAAGGAAUCCCCACCCUAAAGAUCUAGGCAGCCUCAUAAUAAUGGUUCUGCUUCGGGGGUGUUCGGCUCCCCAGUUAGAAAACAAUCUUCCUUUGUGCCCCCAGCGUGGAUCCCUACACAGGACACAAUCAAAGGUUAGGAGCUGCAGGCCGGAGGACGCCCUGGCACCCUCCAGUCGAGAUCAUCCCAAACAGAGAGCCCAGCUUGCGAGGCAGUAGUAAGAUGCCCGGUAGCUGAGGUCUUGGGGGUUUGCGGGCUUCCAGUCUAAAGAGCAACUGGCAUUAAAGCGGAACACGGUUAAGGCAAUGCACCUGUCCCGGGUGCUGUGGGCUUAGAUAAUGACCAUCCGCAUCCUCUCCCCCUUCCUCAGGAAAGUCAGGUCAGUCUGAAUUUAAAGAGGCACCCUGCAAAAGCGUGUGCUCUCUGAAGUUGCUCUAGUUUCUUAGAGGGAGCCCGCAGACGCAGACUCCCUUCCAAAAACCUGUGGACACCUUAGCGGAACUCUGCCUAGCCAGCGCGGCUGUUUUCAAUGGCCCAGGCCUGUCUGUCCCCUCCUUCCUCCCGAGGUCAGAGGCCAAAUCGGGACCCAGGGUUAGAAAUCCUUGAACCAGCAUCCCCAUAAACCUGAUGCAGCAACCGCUCUCACUUUCACAAAGAUCCUGUAGCCUUCCUUUGGCAGGAGGAACUGCCUCUGGGGAACAGCGGAAAGAGAAGGCACCAGUUACUACGAGGAGCCGGGAGCCGUGCCUGCCUUCGCCUCGCUGAGCCCAGGCGCCCCAGGGCUGCAGUUACCUUGUUCAGCCGAAGUCCCCGGGCAGAGCUUGUUUGCGAGGCUCGCCGCGCUGGACUCGAAGAACCAGAGACUCUGGAGUCCACUGGCACCUCUGGCGAGCUGGAGUCCCGAUGCUGCUUCUCUAGCGGCAGGGACCCCGAGCGCCCGACGCACGCGAGCGCUCGCAACCCCGGAGUGCUGCCGCCGGGGUCUGGACUGACCUACAGUUGA
This 1219-nucleotide long non-coding RNA is filed under the name Meriones unguiculatus (Mongolian gerbil). RNAcentral's name for it is "lncRNA (ENSMUGG00000024986.1)". The record is from RNAcentral. Lineage: Eukaryota; Metazoa; Chordata; Mammalia; Rodentia; Muridae.